UUGCUUCAGCAGCACGCAUACUAAAAUUGGAAAGCUACAGGGAAGAUUCUGUAAAGAUGUGCACAAGGAUGACACAAAAGUUCAUGAAAUGUUCCAUAUUUUU
Molecule: small nuclear RNA, 103 nt
Organism: Arvicola amphibius (Eurasian water vole)
Lineage: Eukaryota; Metazoa; Chordata; Mammalia; Rodentia; Cricetidae
Source: RefSeq, a predicted model, not a curated record